AGAUGACGCACGCCUUGUCCGCAAUUGCAACAAAAGAUUCUCACUAGUAUGGCUUGCAAGGUGAAGGGUUACAUAUGCCACCAACCUAGUCCGCAAUUGCAACCGAAGAUUUUUGGAUGAACCGCAUGAUGAUCGGAUGAAGGCUUUCAGUUGGUCCAGGCCAGGCCAGGUGACCAAUGACGAUGAUAGAUCGGGUUCGAUUCAAGCUAUACGCUUGGUGUAUUUGGUUAUCGUGACUGCGACUGAGUCUAACUCACGUCAAUAGCGCGGUGGCUGGGUCCCAGGCAUGCUUGCCACUUUGUUCCACGGUCCUCAUCUAUGUUUCGACGGUGAUGACACGGACUUAGGUUCAAAGUACGUGUUCCCCUUGAGUCAUUGUGGUUGAUUGAUGGGGGCAAUUAACGGUUGCGUGUCGCUAGUCAUUCAAUUGGUCCCCUUGUUUUAGAGUGUUGGCGGGAUAAGUCGUACGAAUGUUAACAAUAGUAUGCAAUAGCUGGCCAGCGAUCCCCUACCUGAUCUCGAGGGGGAUGGAAUGACUGGGGUUUGAGGCCUGUUGUUAGCCUGCGGAAUUUCGUCGGACGAUAUGUCAGGCGUGUCCGUGUGGAACUUGUGCUAAACCAGUUUAGUACAUAUGACGAAGACAUUGGGCUCUUUGGAUAACAACAGGAUUCUCAACCUCCUUGUGCCUCACAAAGCUAAUAAAAUACGCCCGCUGAAAUCGACGGCGAUGAAGUAGGAGAGCCGGCCUCCAGCUUGUCAGCCGAGAAGACACUGGAUGGACCCCAAGGAUAUGUUGCUGCCAAUGUUGGAGCCAUACAGGGCAGCCCAAGCCAACAUUGUACAAGGGCCACAAGGUCCAGGGCCACAAGGACAAGGGACACAAGAACAAGGGACACAAGAAUAAGGGACACAUAAGACGAUGUUGCAGUCUACUGGGUGUCACAGAGAAUGAGCGAUUUCAUCAUUACCAAGGCCAGCCCGACUCGAGCGAAGUUGCAGAGAUGAAAGUCGAUCACUGUCUGAAGGAGGUUUGAAGGAGGAUGCAAGCAUUGCCCUCUGCAGAUUGAGACAAUGGCUGUCGAGAAGACCCUGACCACUCAACCAAGAUCUACAAUUCGUACUAGAGUAGAUGUGACUCUCAAAGAUUUUGGAUGACGAAGGAAUCCAACGCAUAUAUCACGCUCACAGAUAUGGGCAGAUGACUGAGAGUCGAGUGGAUUCAGUGGAUCGAACGGUUGCGCUGAGGGAUAUCCAUGUACAGGAGUGACGAACCACAGUUCAGCAAACGAUGCCUUGACAGACCAAUUCAAGGAGAACCUUCGCUAAGAUCAGGAAGGGAACGUGUUUGCUGUGUGGAUGGAUUGAACAUUUAAAUGUCCGUCAUUCUAUAGACUAUAAUGACAAUCUUCUAAUGGACUAUAAUGACAAUCUAUUCUAACUCCAAAGGG
Molecule: long non-coding RNA, 1448 nt
Organism: Lineus longissimus
Lineage: Eukaryota; Metazoa; Nemertea; Pilidiophora; Heteronemertea; Lineidae
Exons: 7
Source: RefSeq, a predicted model, not a curated record